RNAcentral lists this microRNA (18 nucleotides) under Corchorus olitorius. Its description in RNAcentral is "cin-miR-4205-". Lineage: Eukaryota; Viridiplantae; Streptophyta; Magnoliopsida; Malvales; Malvaceae. The record is from RNAcentral.
CGGUUUAAUUGGUUGAAA